This 394-nucleotide ribosomal RNA is filed under the name Protaspa sp. Its description in RNAcentral is "partial small subunit ribosomal RNA". It matches the Rfam family "Eukaryotic small subunit ribosomal RNA", at positions 587 to 975 of the family's 1831-position model. The record is from RNAcentral. Lineage: Eukaryota; Cercozoa; Thecofilosea; Cryomonadida; Protaspidae.
AGCUCCAGUAGCGUAUAUUAAAGUUGUUGCAGUUAAAAAGCUCGUAGUUGGAUUUCUGGUUGGCGUUCCUGGCCCGCGAACUACAAGUUCUGUGAGUGCCGGCGUGACGCCAGUCAUCUUUCUAGAGACCCUUUCGCGCAUUCAUUUGUUUGAUUGGAUCCUCUCUAGAUCUUUUACUUUGAAAAAAUUAGAGUGUUCAAAGCAGGCUUGUGCUAUGAAUAUAUUAGCAUGGAAUAAUAAUCUAGGACUCUUGUCCUAUUUUGUUGGUUAUAGGACGAAAGUAAUGAUUGAUAGGGAUAGUUGGGGGUGCUAGUACUGUGUGGCCAGAGGUGAAAUUCUUGGAUUCACGCAAGACUAACUUAUGCGAAAGCAUUCACCAAGGAUGUCUUCUUUA